GAGAGAGAGAGAGAGAGAGAGAGAGAGACUCUUGCAGGCACAGAGGAAGGAGAUGGAGAGUAAACAAUGGGAGAUGGAUGAGAAAAAACAGCAACUGGAAUUACAAACAGUUACGGAAGCAGAAAUAGAGGAAAAACUCAAAGAAAUGGAGAGAAUGAUGACAAAAACAGGCAGAUUGAAAUGGAGGAGGAAAAACAAGGAGACAUUGAUAGACUGAUGGACACCCAAAGAGAGAAUAAUGAAAAGAGACAAAGAGAGAUGGAGAAGAUAAAGUUGCACAAAGAGAGAAAAGAAGAAGAGGAGGAGAGACUGAGGCAACGCCAUAAUGAAGACAGGCAAAGUUACAGAGAGCUGUAGAAGCAAAGAUGGAGGAAAAACUCAAGGAAAUGGAAAGAAAGGUAAAAGAGAGAAACAACACAGAGCUUAAACAGACAGAGGAAAAAGGAGAAGGGUAGCCCAGCUAAAGGAAGAUGAGUGGAAAGAGAGAUGCAGGGAGAGGAGGCAGAAAUGAGCGAGGAAGAGAGAUUGAGAGAGGAAGAAAGAGAAAAACAUCAAACGCAGCUUCAAAUUGAAGAGGGGAAACAGAGAGAGAAAAAGACUCCUGGAGGUCCAGAGAAGGGAGAUGGAAGAUAGACAAAGAGAGAUAGACAAGAGAAAGUUGGAGAUGGAAGAUAGACAAAGAGAGAUAGACAAGAGAAAGUUGGAGAUGGAAAGGAAAUAACUGGAAAGACAGAAGGAGGCGCAGAAAGAAAAGAGAGAGAUAAAUAGACAAAAACGAAGCGAGACAAAAAUAAACUCAGAGUUGGUAAGAAAAGAGGACGAAGCAAGAAAGACAGAAAUGGACGAGAGACAAGGUGAGAGAAAGAGACACAUACAAAGAGAGAAGGAUAAGAACCCAACUGAGAUUCUGGGAAAUAUGGAAAGGCCAGAGGGGGAGAUGGAGAUGGGGAAAGAGCUUCAAAUGCAGGGAGAAGUCAGAUAAACAAACCUGGAAAUUAUGAGACAAAAGGAAGAAGCAAGAAAUCAUGAAACGUAUGAAUGAGAGGCUCUGAUGCAGGAAGAGUCUGAGGACCGACAGGAAGAAAGCCAGCAAAAACGCAUAGAGAUCGAUGGAAUGAAGGGAAAAAGGGGAGACUCAGAAAAAGAUGGGACAGGCUGAGAAUGGUAAAGAAAUGCAUGUCGAGAAAAUCAAAGUGGAGACGGUGGCAGAUGCAAAAGAGGGGGAGACCAAUGAAACAGACAUGGAAAUGAGCCCCGAGGACGUUAAUACCAGACAGCAUCAGAAAUCGAGAUUUGACAUCAUUGUAGAACAAGAGAGGGAGAGAAAGAGAGAGCAGAAGAGAAAGGUAGAAGAGAAACAGAAGGAGGAGCAGAGAAAAGGGAGAAGAGAAGAGAAAGCAGGAUGAAGAAGUAAGAUACUGGUAUGAACAUCCAGAGGAAUGGCGCAAGCACCAAGAAGAGCUGACCUUCAAGAAAGAGGAAGAACGACGACUAGAGCUGGAGAAAAAGUAGGAAGAAGAGGCAAGGAGACUUGCAGAAAUAAACAAAAAGGAGAAGAUAUACGAGCAGAUGGGAAGCUGUCAGAGAUGGAGACAGAAGUUCAGGUAGAGCACCAACAUGAAACUAGUGCACAGGAAAUCAAUUCUGGACAGCCUUGCAGAUAAAAUUCACAACUACUUCUGGAGAAAGAGAGGGAGAAAAAGAGAGACGCAAGGAGAAAUGCAGAUGAGAGGCAGAGAAAGUCACAAGAGGCAUGGAAAGAUGAGCUUAAAAGGAGAGAAGAGAAGAGAGAGCAGGAUGAGAAAGCAAGAUACUGGUCUGAACACCCAGAGGAAUGGCGCAAACUCCAGGAAGAGCUGGCCAUUAAGAAAGAGGACAAACGACGACUAGAACUGGAGAAAAAAUGGGAAGAAGAGGCAAAGAGGAUAGAAGAGAGAAAGAGAAGAGAGCAGGAAACUGAGGAUGAAAUGAGACGUGAGAGGGAAAGGCAGCGAGAAAUUGAUCUACAGAAGGGGAGAGAGAAACAGAAGGAGACUGAAAUGCAACGCCAGUUGGAAAAACAGACAGAACUGGAGAGAGAAAGGGAGGUGGAGAGAGAGAGAGAGCUGGAAAAGGAAAGAGAGAGAGAACAGGAAAGACAGAAAGAGAGAGAGAACAGGAAAUUCAGAGACAGAGAGAAGAAAAAAAGGAGACAAGAGGAAGAAACUGAGGGACAAGCAGAGAUGGAACAACAGGAGGAAGAUGAAGAUGAUGAAGAUCAUCAAACCGAGAAUGGGACAGAUGGUCCGGUGGCCCAGGAUAAGAGUGUAAGAAGGGGGUUCCUUGGAUGGGUCAAUGAAAAGGUGAGAGAGAGAAAGCAGAGAAAAAUUGAAAAGACUAUCAAGAGGGAAAAGGAGGAAGGUAAUACGUAUUACUGGGAACCUCUCAGGGGUUACACAUCCCGGGCCCAGCGAGAACAGGAGAAGCGCAGGAGCCUACUGAAGGCAGAGGCAACCAGACAAAAACUACAAUCAUCCUGGCUUGAGUGGGAACCCAAAAAGAAAGAGAAAAAGUUACAGAGGAAAUCCCAACAUUCUGCAGCAAAAUGAAAAAGGUGAUAGGAACCUGGAUCUUUACAAUGGUGUUCAGAUUUACACCACCGGCCAUAAACAUCAUUGGCUGGGAUAGUAGCAGCAGCAGGAGUGAAUUAUUCAGAACAUUAAAAAAAUAACAAAA
Long non-coding RNA from Clupea harengus (Atlantic herring), 2715 nucleotides. RefSeq lists it as uncharacterized. The record is from RefSeq and is a predicted model, not a curated record. NCBI's taxonomy places the organism in Eukaryota, Metazoa, Chordata, Actinopteri, Clupeiformes, Clupeidae. The transcript has 2 exons.